This 174-nucleotide long non-coding RNA is filed under the name Cyanistes caeruleus (blue tit). RNAcentral's name for it is "lncRNA (ENSCCEG00000013640.1)". Lineage: Eukaryota; Metazoa; Chordata; Aves; Passeriformes; Paridae. The record is from RNAcentral.
UAAAAGAGCUGGAAACUGUUGGAUAAAGCUGUGUUCUCAGCCUCCACACAGAGACCUUCUCCUCUUGUAAGGCCCUAGAGCUUUAGGCUCACCUCAAGCUUUGGCUCUCAUCUUGACUGAAGAGGUACCUUGGGACACCUAACCUUUGAGGGGACUUCUGCAGAACCUGGGUCA